This 310-nucleotide ribosomal RNA is filed under the name uncultured bacterium. Its description in RNAcentral is "partial 16S ribosomal RNA". It matches the Rfam family "Bacterial small subunit ribosomal RNA", at positions 28 to 319 of the family's 1533-position model. The record is from RNAcentral.
GACGAACGCUGGCGGUGUGCCUCAAACAUGCAAGUCGAGGGAGGGUUGGCGUCUGGCUUGCCAGACGUUCAACUCUACCGGCGAACGGGUGAGUAACACGUGGGCAAUCUGCCCUGAAGACGGGGACAACCUCGGGAAACCGUGGCUAAUACCCGAUACCCUCCUUGGGGGCGAUCCCCUCGGGAAGGAAAGGUACCGCAAGGUCCGCUUCAGGAGGAGCCCGCGGCCUAUCAGCUUGUUGGUGGGGUCGACGGCCACCAAGGCUAUGACGGGUAGGCUGGUCUGAGAGGACGAUCAGCCACACUGGGAC